GGCUGUAAAGCAGAGCCAACAUGAAGCAGCCACUGCUCCACUGCUCAUGAUAUUAUAAACAGAAAUGGUUACAUUACAAUCAUGUUUACAGAAACAUUAGUUAAAUACAAAGACAACUGCAGUGAUAUGUGAAACAAAAAUGACUAAUUUAAAAGGCCUUCAUAUCAACAUAUUUGCCUGUGAGAAAUACAAUAUAGAAGAGCACAAGCAAGAAAGCUGUAAAAUAUAAGUUAGAUUGUGUGAAAUGCUGCAUUUUGGUAACACAUAGCUGCCUCAUUUUGUAUAAGCAUUAGCUCUAGAGCCGAUUUGGGGGCAUCUUGCCGGACAUAGCCUUAGUGGAUGGGUCAUCCAAAACUUUGUCCAGUGAACGAUACUGCAAUUUUACACUCUCUGCAUUAUCCAAUGUCUUCACCACAUACCUGUAUAUGACUCGUGCAUCAGUUAAUGAAUAAUCAUCCGAGUUUUCACAAGGGAAAAUUUUUUUACCUACACAACAACCAUUGCAUAAAACUUUAUUCCCAACUGACAGUUCUAAUUUCAACUAAUAGGGUACCACAUGAAUCCUGACAAAUCAUUAAACUUUAUUUAGUAUAAUAUCCUUCUUUGAAUCUACUUUGUUAAAAGCAGAUUUCAUGUCCAUAUAUCUGCAUAUGCAUAUUUUUCAACAAAAGGAGGCCUUUAAAGUAAGAAGGAAGAGCAAGUUGGAGGUAAGAUAUACCCUUCUCAAGGGAAUGAAAAAUGUAUAUCAAGGAAAAGGAGAAAGAAAAGCCAAGUAGCCAACUUGUAAUGAAGCAACACUCAACAUGCAUAGACAUUUAAUAAGACAUGUAAGUGCAAAUAAGCUCAAAAGAUAAAUGCAUUGAUUAAUAUAAGAAAUCAAUUCAGAUCAAUCUCUUUUUAUAUUGGACAAUAUGGCAAACCUUAAAAUCUGCUAUAAUUAAAAAGAAGACAGCAAGAAAGUGUCAAACCAUCCAUUUAAGCAUUGUGUUGUCACAACAGCCUCACGCCCAACAAAUCGCUGAGGUGUCCUCUUGUUUCCCUGCUUCAUUAGCCCUUUUAACAUUAAUUUCAAUUAACUAAUGAAUGAGAAUACAGCUAACACUUGGAAGCUUUGCUGGAAGGGAGAAAAAAAAAAAACACCUUUAUAAUAACCCGGUCUGUCACAACAAAUGGGAACUGCACGCCUCGACCCCUUGGUGUAUCUAUUCCAGGUGAAUCACCAUAAACACCUUUGUCCUGCAUGGAAAGAAAAGGUGAUUUAAGAUAAACCAUCAAAAACAAUACAGCGAUAGUUGUAAUGCAGAUGGUGUGAAUAAUUAUUAGAAAGCAAAAUAGCAAUAAGCCAUUUGAGAAUACUGAAAAACAGUAAUUGAUCAACAGGGUUUCAUAAAAACAGUUCAGCUUAACUGCCAGUCUGUCACGAUUCACUACAUAACUUGGCUGCUCCAUUAUUAUUUUCUCUUUCUAAAUUCCUCCGCACAUAUACUACUUUUAAAGUUAUUUUUAAAAAUUUUACAUUUUAAAAAUUUUAUAUUAUCAGAAAAAUCCAUGGCAUGAAGAAGACAAACCUGGUCAAACCUCUCUCUCCUCCUUUUGGAUAAGCGAUAAAAUUGUAACUCCUCUUCCCGGCGGAAUGCCUGCACUGCAGCUCGGAGAGCUGUACAAAUGUGAUCACAAAAGACUACAAUAAGGAGAACGGGAACUGCAAUUAAACCAGUGUUUUAUAUUUGUCUUUGGCCCUGUUUGGCAAUAUUAAUUGUUUUAAUAGCUGCUAGCCGUUUCAAUAGCUGUUAGUCGUUUUACUAGCAGUUAUUAGCUAUUAAUGGUUAGCUGAUAGAUAUUAGCUAUUAAUGGUUAACUGUUUAUAUGCCUAUUAAAGUAAAAAUAUUCGGUAAAAAUGACUGUUAGAUUAGCUGUUAAACAUAAAAAUAGUGAUAAAAGCUUGUCGACCUUAAUCAAAACGCUCCCUCAACCUUUAAAAGCUAUGAGGGAUAGCUUUUCAUGAACCACUCCCUUAAUUUUCAAAAGUUAGUAUAAACAUUAUGUCACCGAACAGCAUAAAUAAGAUAAGUAGCGUUUUGACCAGAGUCAAAACACUAAACGCUACCUUAAAAGCUAUUGCCGAACAGGGUCUUUGUCAUAAUAAGUAUGAUCUAUCCAUCCCUAAUUCUUGCUGCCGCUCUUAAUAGUUAUCUGAAUGAUUUGGUGAAAUCUUUACCAUUAAAGUGAAUUAAUAGGACAAAAAAAAUUACCACUUACAGAGAUUAGGAGCUAUUGAGUCUUCAGAAACUGACUGUGAACAAGUGUAGCAAGAUUUCUGAAAUUGCAUUCAAAAGAAAUAUCAAAAUCAUUUUUCAUGACAAGGGUAAGAAUACUGAGAAGUGCAGGCUCAUGCCCACACACAAAAAGUAUCAAAGAUAACAUAGUUCAAAGAAAUUGGAACAAUAGCCAUGAACAACUAAAAGAAAGAUUGUUAUUGAUCAUUGCUAGACAGGUGUUACAUACAUGUGUCCCAGACGGCUCAUCUAUAAAUGAGAGUAAAAAAGCAAAUGAUCAAUGACAAGAAGACAAUGCAUUCAAGUAAGCAUAUCUUAUGCAAAUAAUUAAAACAGUUCUAUGAUACAAAUAUUAGUCAGGUAUUGAAGGAAUGAUUCGGUCCAUACAGCAGAAAAAAAAGGCCAAUGAAAAUCACAGAACAUCAAUAUUAGUUAAGAGAACAAAUUUAUGAUAGGGCAUCAACUGCACCAACACAGCUGUUUGACACAGACGACUGUGUAGAUCUCAAUGUAUUGUUUGAAAACAGAUCAAUAGUAACAAUAAAAUGAUAAUAGAGCUCCAAUAUGCUGCUUCAUCAAGUCUACAAGGUGAAGGGAUAACCAGAAAAAGUAUAGUCAAAUUGCUAUUUGGUGAUGAGCUACUUUUUAUCAGCAGUUAAUACAUGACUUUCUAAUAUGCACAACAAAAUUUACCAGACGCUAGACAUUUCAUACUAUAUUAAUUUUCCCUACAUCUUGAAAUGAAUGAUACCAAAAGCCUAAAAAGGUCUUUGAAUAAGAACUUACCAUUCUGAUAACGUGUUGUAUUCCACCAGCUCCAAAAGAAUGUCCACAUGGCAAUAUCAUUGCAUCAUCCAUUAGAGCUCCCCUGAAUCGAAAAGCUAACAUAAAUAUGUAACACAAGUGAACACUCCAGCAAGCAGAAAGUUCGCAACAAGAAAGACAAAAGAACAUUACAACAUAUCAAAGUCAACCAAAACAUAAAACGUGCACCCUGAGCUCAAGCACAUUCUCCUUGACAAAUAUAAAAGGACUUCUCUGUUUCACGCAAAGUAUAGUUUGACCAUAAACAAACAAAAAAUACAACAUACAAACUUACGUGACUGAGUCCGAUAGAAUGGCGCUCAAGGAGUCUCCAGAUUCGCAUGAAAACGACGAACCUUCCUUUCUUCCACUAAAACCACAACCAUCACCUCCCAUAUCCUUCCCCGCACUACCAGACCCCUCUGUUCCCUGCAAAUACUGAGUGUAAUACAUAUGCCCAUCAGAUUCUGCUAUUGUCACUGUAUUAUUCCCCGUUUGGCCUACACUCCCACCUCCAUCUUUUACCGCCAUAAUUUCUCCGGUAGCCCCAACAAAAGAAGGAUGGUGCUUGGGCUUUCCAUUUCCAUUCCCCAUUUUAUCUACAUUACCAGUAUUGCUAGUGGUACCAGUAGUAGCGGUUGCAUCGUUGUUAUUGCUUUUGCCGCUAUUAUUAUUGUUAUUAUCGUUACUAGUACUAUUAUCAACACCAACCAGUGCCUCCACUUCAUUAUCAUGGUCACCAUCACCACCAUCCACGCCAUCAUCAUCGACCUCGUCAUAUUCCUCACCGUCUGAUUCAUCGCCGCGGGUCCCGUUCCCGUUCCAAUUACGAUUCUCCCGGUACAUAUUGCGCAGGAAUUGGGGACCGCCCUGGUGGGAGGGGAAGUAACGGUUGUUGGCGGCGGCGGAGUUGGAGGAAGAGAAAAGCUUGUCAUCGAUAAAGCCAGUGAGUUCUCGGGUAGUGGUCAUGCGGCCCCGAUGCCCUCCGACGCGGCGCUGGGGAGGCCCGCAGUUGAAGCGCAAGGGAUCAUUUUGGAAGACGAGCUGAGAAUUUAGGCCAUUUUGGGAGGGAACUAAGGAGAUUUCCUCCGUUGACAUAAUUUUGGAGGUCAAAUUGCAUGAAAAUGGAACCCUAAUUUUGAUGAAUUGAGCAUGAAUUUGAUUUACCUGAAGAAAGGAGUGA
Molecule: unclassified non-coding RNA, 4263 nt
Filed under: Hevea brasiliensis (rubber tree)
Lineage: Eukaryota; Viridiplantae; Streptophyta; Magnoliopsida; Malpighiales; Euphorbiaceae
Source: RNAcentral